RNAcentral lists this ribosomal RNA (264 nucleotides) under uncultured archaeon. RNAcentral describes it as "partial 16S ribosomal RNA". It matches the Rfam family "Archaeal small subunit ribosomal RNA", at positions 717 to 982 of the family's 1478-position model. The record is from RNAcentral.
AGACGUCUACAUUAGAUACCCGCGUAGUCCCAGCCGUAAACUGUGCGCGUUAGGUGUAUCGGUGACCACGAGUCACCGAGGUGCCGAAGGGAAACCGUGAAACGUGCCGCCUGGGAAGUACGGUCGCAAGGCUGAAACUUAAAGGAAUUGGCGGGGAGCACCACAACGGGUGGAGCCUGCGGUUUAAUUGGACUCAACGCCGGGAAGCUCACCGGAUAAGACAGCGGAAUGAUUGCCGGGCUGAAGACUCUGCAUGACUAGCUG